This is a non-coding RNA of Paramormyrops kingsleyae, 1088 nucleotides long. Lineage: Eukaryota; Metazoa; Chordata; Actinopteri; Osteoglossiformes; Mormyridae. The record is from RefSeq and is a predicted model, not a curated record.
AGUCCCUCCCCCUCUCUCUCAGGUUACCAGGCAGUAUUCAGAGAGGAGCUGCUCCUUCCUUUCCCACUUGCUGAGUGGGGGGUGGGUGUCACUGCACACGCGCACAGGCGCAUGUGUCCUCAUAAAUGCCCAACGCCGAGUGGGGAGCGGCAGGGCGCAGGGAGCCGUAGCCGAGCGGCGCGAGAGCGCUGGACCGCGACGGGCACACGUGAGAGCGGCGGAGGAUGGCAAAGGAGCAGCGGCGGAGAGAGAGCAAACAAAGGAGGGCUGUCGUCUUCUGAGCGUCUGUCCUUUUGUCUGGCUGACCGAGACAAUGUGCUGGGGCAAAUGAACUAAUCAGCUCACUAUGACUUUGUGAUUUCCCUUUUUCUUUUUUUUUUCCUGCUCCCUUCCUGGAAACAAGGGGGCAGGCAAAUAGCAGGAGGUGAGAGCGUUUUCGCAGGGAGGAGACCGGAGGGCUAGGCGAUGGAAAGUCUGGUCCUGGCAGGAUGAUGCAAAAGAGAGAUGAUGGAAGGGGAACUUUUUGAAGAUCUCACCCUUUUGACACACUUGUGAAUCAAGGUGAAGCGGUUGACUGGUUUAGAUUAUUAGUAAUGUUUUCGGGCUGUUAAGUUACUGCUGUAACAGAGUCCAGGGCACUUUCUUACCUUCUCUUUUCUACCUUCUUUUCUACCUGUUGUUCAAGUCCUGUUCCUGUGACGCACUGACAUGUAAGUGCUCGGGAGUUUGCUGGUCAGUUUAGUAGUGGGGUUGGAGGGGAGGGGGAAGGUAAAGAGGGUAGGCUUAGAAAAGGAGAAAAUCCUAAAUAGUGACAGCCUGGAGAACGGGAAAGCUGACGAGGGAGGGGGAGAGGGGGAGCGUGAGAUUAUCUGGAAGAGGAGGGAAGGAGUGGUGGUGCAGGAGGAGGUGGUGGGGGAACCUGAGAGGGAGUACACCGUCUGGAAGAAGAGAGAGGGCUUCAAGGAGAAGAGGGCCAGGGAGGAGAGCCUGAGGUCACAGAGGAGCCUGGUGCAUGUGGUAGGACCAGAGGUUGUAUGGAGGAGGAGGGAAGGGCCUGCGGAGAGCGAUAGGGAGAGGCCCCAGGCCAA